CGCGGGAAGCGAGUGGAUCCCUUCGGGGUGAAGCUCGUGGAACGAGCGGCGGACGGGUGAGUAACACGUGGGCAACCUGCCUGUAAGACCGGAAUAACCCCGGGAAACCGGGGCUAAUGCCGGGUAAUACUUUUCUUCGCAUGAAGGAAAGUUGAAAGAUGGCUUCUUGCUAUCACUUACAGAUGGGCCCGCGGCGCAUUAGCUAGUUGGUGAGGUAACGGCUCACCAAGGCGACGAUGCGUAGCCGACCUGAGAGGGUGAUCGGCCACACUGGGACUGAGACACGGCCCAGACUCCUACGGGAGGCAGCAGUAGGGAAUCUUCCGCAAUGGACGAAAGUCUGACGGAGCAACGCCGCGUGAACGAUGAAGGUCUUCGGAUCGUAAAGUUCUGUUGUUAGGGAAGAACAAGUACCGUGCGAAUAGAGCGGUACCUUGACGGUACCUAACGAGGAAGCCCCGGCUAACUACGUGCCAGCAGCCGCGGUAAUACGUAGGGGGCAAGCGUUGUCCGGAAUUAUUGGGCGUAAAGCGCGCGCAGGCGGUUCCUUAAGUCUGAUGUGAAAGCCCACGGCUCAACCGUGGAGGGUCAUUGGAAACUGGGGAACUUGAGGACAGAAGAGGAGAGUGGAAUUCCACGUGUAGCGGUGAAAUGCGCAGAUAUCAG
RNAcentral lists this ribosomal RNA (666 nucleotides) under Halobacillus sp. SCULCB HBCM-6. RNAcentral's name for it is "bacterial SSU rRNA". It matches the Rfam family "Bacterial small subunit ribosomal RNA", at positions 54 to 700 of the family's 1533-position model. Lineage: Bacteria; Bacillati; Bacillota; Bacilli; Caryophanales; Bacillaceae. The record is from RNAcentral.